AAUCGCUAGUAAUCGCAGGUCAGCAUACUGCGGUGAAUACGUUCCCGGGUCUUGUACACACCGCCCGUCACACCAUGGGAGCCGGAAAUGCCCGAAGCCAGUGACCCAACCUUAGGGAGGGAGCUGUCGAAGGUGGAGCCGGUAACUGGGGUGAAGUCGUAACAAGGUACC
This 171-nucleotide ribosomal RNA is filed under the name uncultured bacterium. RNAcentral's name for it is "partial 16S ribosomal RNA". It matches the Rfam family "Bacterial small subunit ribosomal RNA", at positions 1330 to 1500 of the family's 1533-position model. The record is from RNAcentral.